This 492-nucleotide ribosomal RNA is filed under the name uncultured bacterium. Its description in RNAcentral is "partial 16S ribosomal RNA". It matches the Rfam family "Bacterial small subunit ribosomal RNA", at positions 29 to 507 of the family's 1533-position model. The record is from RNAcentral.
AAUGAACGCUGGCGGCAUGCCUAACACAUGCAAGUCGAACGGCACCACCGUAAGUGCUUGCUCUUACGGGUGUCGCGUGGCGGAAGGGUGACUAAUACAUCGGAUUCCUCUUUUUCGUGGGUGCUAACGUAGGGAAACUUCUGCUAACACCGCAUAUGUCCCACGUGUGAAAGCAGGGGUUCUUCGGACCUUUUGCUAUUGUAUUAGCCCACGUCGGAUUAGCUAGUUGGCGGGGUAAAGGCCGACCAAGGCGACGCUCCGGAGCUGGCCUGAGAGGGUGAUCAGCCACACUGGAACUGAGACGAGGUCCAGACUCCUACGGGAGGAAGCAGGGGGGAAAAUUGGACAAUGGGCGGAAGUCGGAAACAGCGAAAACGCGGGGGUGAAGAAGGCCAUCGGGUUGGAAAGACCUAUUAUGGGGGAAGAAAAGCAGAGGGUUUAUACCCGGCAGGACUGACGGUACACAAAGAGAAAGAGCCGGCUAAAUUCGUG